UGUUCAGGGGUAAACCUGUGGUUCCCGAAAGUUCGAACGGGGAGAUUCAAUUGCCUCGCCGGUUAUGACCAUUUAACAGUGAUGUUUAUAUAUGAGACAUUAUAUGCGGUUGCGGUUUAUUCUGUAGCUGUUAUAUGGUGCUCCGCUGUUUUAUGUAUAUUGUUUAUAGCCGGAGGCGUGCACUUCUCCCCUUGUAGGACGUCGUGACCCAUUGGAUAAUUAAAAUGUUGUCUAAGGCUCGUGAUGGAGACCGUGGCAUUAAGUUUCGGCUUUAAUGACCCGGACUUGCGAUGUCCCGACAUCUAUCCGAUGGUAGUAUUAUGAUGAUGGGUCGCUAUAAAUGCGGAGCGUUCAGAUCCAUAACAAAUGCUUAUAUGGUAUAUAGUGGAAAUCGGAUUUAAUGCCGGUUCUGCACGUAUGGUAUUGUUAGUUGUGGUACUCUCGAACCGUCCCUUUUCAUCAGUCAACGGCGUUUAUGUUUUGGGUAAUUACAGGACCCGUCUUGAAACACGGACCAAGGAGUCUAGCAUGUGCGCGAGUCAUUGGGACUUUUGAAACCUAAAGGCGCAAUGAAAGUGAAGUAUUUGUGAAUUUUCGUAAUUCACUUGUUUAAGGGAAGAUGGGUAACGUUAUUUAUGUUACCUCGCAUUCCCGGGGCGUCGCGUACUUAUUGCAAGUUGCGGCGCACCAAGAGCGUACACGCUGGGACCCGAAAGAUGGUGAACUAUGCCUGGUCAGGAUGAAGUCAGGGGAAACCCUGAUGGAGGUCCGUAGCGAUUCUGACGUGCAAAUCGAUCGUAUGAACUGGGUAUAGGGGCGAAAGACUAAUCGAACCAUC
This 838-nucleotide ribosomal RNA is filed under the name Synuchus vivalis. Its description in RNAcentral is "eukaryotic LSU rRNA". It matches the Rfam family "Eukaryotic large subunit ribosomal RNA", at positions 406 to 944 of the family's 3401-position model. Lineage: Eukaryota; Metazoa; Arthropoda; Insecta; Coleoptera; Carabidae. The record is from RNAcentral.